Long non-coding RNA from Triticum aestivum (bread wheat), 2660 nucleotides. RefSeq lists it as uncharacterized. The record is from RefSeq and is a predicted model, not a curated record. The transcript has 4 exons. Lineage: Eukaryota; Viridiplantae; Streptophyta; Magnoliopsida; Poales; Poaceae.
UCCCAGAGGAGGCACGCAUGCCGGCGUACGGAGCCAUCACCAACCGCUCCUCCGCUCCUCUCGCUCUCCAACGCCCACGCGAUGCCGCCUGGAUCGGAGGAAUCGAAGGUCACCGCUCCGCUAUGUUCCGUUUCGGAGCCGAAACAACAAGCAUCCAUGGCCGCUCCGCAACCGAAGGCCAAAGGUGAUGUCCAGGUGCCGCAUGAACGGCAGGGGAGCUGAAGGCCGCAGGCGCCGGCCGCCCCGGUGUGAGAGGAAACAGGCGGGUUCUCAGGGACACCCUCAACGUCGUCCAUGGCCCACGUCCUCAACGAGGAAGGAAAUCAGCACAAUGAUCGAAUACCUGAUCGGUUCCAGACCACCCGGCGCGCUCCCUUCACAAGGAUCGAACCUCGCGGCGGCGGGCGAUGGCAGCAGCUCCGCGGUCCUGGUCCGCUCGUCUCAUCGUCCCAUGCGGCUUCGAGGUCACUACGUUCGGCCGUCGGUCCCCCGCGAACAACAUCAUCCACGUCCUCACCGACGCGCGGGGUUCAACAUGGCGCUCGAGACCUCCAGCAUCGCGGAUGACUUCUAGGCCGACGAGCGCGGCACCGGCAUCACCAUCUUCGUCCCCAUCGGCGACGCCUUCCCCGGCCUCCCUUCCGGUGCUGCGAUUCCACGUGCUGCACUCCUACUACCGGCUCGGCUCCCUCGAGUCCAUCAAGAACCCCGUCCAGCCCACGUCCUCACCAAAGUGCAUCGUGGCCGGCUGCUUCGUGCCUCCGGUUCUAGGUGGAGCAAACAUAAAUGUCGGGGUCGAUGUCGACGGAGCCAUUGAAUCGUGUGAUGUUGAUCCUGAAGCAGUCGGGCUCUGCAAUUGUGACGCUGGACGCUGCAAAGGAGAGGACAUCAUAGCUGGAGUUCGAGUUCGAGACGCAGAGGAGAGGACGCCAUAGCCAAAGUUGAAGACGCAGAGCAGAGGACGAGACGGUUCGGAGGAGCCAGAGUUAACCACGCCGACAACGAUCCAAGCAUCUUUGCUAUUUACCAUUUCCAGGUUGAUUGGUAAUGCAUGCCAAUUACUAUUUGUAGGUUAGGUACUUUCACUAUUUGUAAUAGAAAUGGUAAGAGUUUUAAGCAGGAGGUGGAGCUACUUUUUGUUUGUCAGUUUAAAUUUUACUAAUCUGUAGCUGAACUUGAAGCUGCUGUAUCAGGUGACAGCUGGUGAGCAGGAUCGACAAUGGAUUGAUUAGUGUCACCAUCCUUUGGUUCUGAAGCAAUUCUUGAGGCGUCUCCGACCAGAACAAUCUGGUGCCUACCAAUUUCAGUUCAUAUGUGAGGACUGCCCUACGCUCAAGCAACGAGUUACGACAUGGAUGGAGUGUAGGACGAAGUUCAGGACAUCAGAGAACAGAUGACACAUUGGUCACAUCCCCAGUAAAUGUGUCAAUCAUACUAAACCGUCGAUGGUUUCUAAUUUCCAAUAUUGAAAAAUGCUACUAUAUCUCAAGUAAUAUGAGAGUAUUGAUUAACCCAUUUUCUGUUUCUAAGCUAUCUUUAUUUUUCUUAGUUAUUUUGGUGUUUUGUUUGGCACAGAAGAUGGUUUCAAAACAGAGAGUUGUGGUUUUGAUGCUAUCUGUAAAGGUAAUUCAUAUAUAUCAUAAGUUUAUUAACAUACUUACUUCAUAUGAACAUUAUUCUUUUACUUCGUUAAUAUAUGGGUCAAUAUGUUCGCACCAUACCCUCAGGGCCAUUACCUUGACUGUCCAUUCUAGAUAAUUAAGCUCCAAGGCACUUGGUCAAUCCUAUUGGGACGCACUGGUACUUACUUUCUGAUGGAGUCGAAUCAACUAUUUUAUUUUAUUUUAUUUUGGAAGCACCAACCUAAUCUCCUGACAACUGUAAAAAACAAAUUGCAAGUACAUGUGAUGCACAUUGCCACUAUACUAGAGGAAAACUGGGCAAAGUUAAAUGUUGCUGCUUCUUUUUGGCAAAAUAAUGACCAAAACUGUAUUGUUGUCAGUGAUCACAAUCACAAAGAGAUGCCACUCUGAACAUCUGAACAUCUGAACAUCUAGAGAUGCCACGACGUGGUGGAACCCGAUGUCCAAGGGUGCAUAAUCAGUCUCCGUCUUGUGAGUUCGUCCUUGUUUCUCGCAUUGUUUUGUAAUCUGAUAAUGCUUAUGUUCUCAAUAUCUUCAAUGGCAAGACGAGAUUUUGGUGCCGCAUCUGGCACAUCUAUGAAGGCAUUAGCCAUCUGCAUACUUGGUUGCCUGAUUUUACUUUAAAUGGAGUUGUGUGUGAGAGGAAUAGAGUAAUAAAUUUAUACAUGAACUAAUGGCGUUGGUAAGAAAUUUAGGUGUUAACUUGCACUACUAGGGAAAACCUUAUACACAGAACGUUACCAGUAGCGUUGUAUAAAAUCAAACGCUACUGCUAAUUAGUAGCAGCGCGCGUAAAUAAACCGCGCUACUGCUACGACUUUUGCAGUAGCGCGUACUGGCGAAAAGCGUUGCUGCUAUGUUUGAACUGGGCGCACAUGGCUAGCCCAACCUAGCAGUAGCGCGUAUACUGACCCAACGCAAUUGCUACGCUCCGUAGCUGUAGCGCGCUUACGUAAGGCGCUGCUGCUAACAGAAAUAAAAUAAAGUGAAAAAUAAGUAGAUAAGUAAAUGAAAAUG